RNAcentral lists this ribosomal RNA (468 nucleotides) under uncultured bacterium. RNAcentral's name for it is "partial 16S ribosomal RNA". It matches the Rfam family "Bacterial small subunit ribosomal RNA", at positions 28 to 507 of the family's 1533-position model. The record is from RNAcentral.
GACGAACGCUGGCGGCGUGCUUAACACAUGCAAGUCGAACGGAAAGGCCCUGCUUUUGUGGGUUGCUCGAGUGGCGAACGGGUGAGUAACACGUGAGUAACCUGCCCUUGACUUUGGGAUAACUUCAGGAAACUGGGGCUCAUACCGGAUAUGAGCUCCUGCUGCAUGGUGGGGGUUGGAAAGUUUCGGCGGUUGGGGAUGGACUCGCGGCUUAUCAGCUUGUUGGUGGGGUAGUGGCUUACCAAGGCUUUGACGGGUAGCCGGCCUGAGAGGGUGACCGGCCACAUUGGGACUGAGAUACGGCCCAGAAUCCUACGGGAGGCAGCAGGGGGGAAUAUUGCACAAUGGGCGGAAGCCUGAUGCAGCAACGCCGCGUGCGGGAUGACGGCCUUCGGGUUGUAAACCGCUUUCGCCUGUGACGAAGCGUGAGUGACGGUAAUGGGUAAAGAAGCACCGGCUAACUACGUG